Molecule: ribosomal RNA, 1434 nt
Filed under: uncultured organism
Description: 16S ribosomal RNA
Rfam family: Bacterial small subunit ribosomal RNA
Source: RNAcentral
CAGGCUUAACACAUGCAAGUCGAGGGGCAGCAUGGUCUUAGCUUGCUAAGACUGAUGGCGACCGGCGCACGGGUGAGUAACACGUAUCCAACCUGCCGUCUACUCUUGGACAGCCUUCUGAAAGGAAGAUUAAUACAAGAUGGCAUCAUGAGUCCGCAUGUUCACAUGAUUAAAGGUAUUCCGGUAGACGAUGGGGAUGCGUUCCAUUAGAUAGUAGGCGGGGUAACGGCCCACCUAGUCUUCGAUGGAUAGGGGUUCUGAGAGGAAGGUCCCCCACAUUGGAACUGAGACACGGUCCAAACUCCUACGGGAGGCAGCAGUGAGGAAUAUUGGUCAAUGGGCGAGAGCCUGAACCAGCCAAGUAGCGUGAAGGAUGACUGCCCUAUGGGUUGUAAACUUCUUUUAUAAAGGAAUAAAGUCGGGUAUGCAUACCCGUUUGCAUGUACUUUAUGAAUAAGGAUCGGCUAACUCCGUGCCAGCAGCCGCGGUAAUACGGAGGAUCCGAGCGUUAUCCGGAUUUAUUGGGUUUAAAGGGAGCGUAGAUGGAUGUUUAAGUCAGUUGUGAAAGUUUGCGGCUCAACCGUAAAAUUGCAGUUGAUACUGGAUAUCUUGAGUGCAGUUGAGGCAGGCGGAAUUCGUGGUGUAGCGGUGAAAUGCUUAGAUAUCACGAAGAACUCCGAUUGCGAAGGCAGCCUGCUAAGCUGCAACUGACAUUGAGGCUCGAAAGUGUGGGUAUCAAACAGGAUUAGAUACCCUGGUAGUCCACACGGUAAACGAUGAAUACUCGCUGUUUGCGAUAUACGGCAAGCGGCCAAGCGAAAGCGUUAAGUAUUCCACCUGGGGAGUACGCCGGCAACGGUGAAACUCAAAGGAAUUGACGGGGGCCCGCACAAGCGGAGGAACAUGUGGUUUAAUUCGAUGAUACGCGAGGAACCUUACCCGGGCUUAAAUUGCAGAUGAAUUACGGUGAAAGCCGUAAGCCGCAAGGCAUCUGUGAAGGUGCUGCAUGGUUGUCGUCAGCUCGUGCCGUGAGGUGUCGGCUUAAGUGCCAUAACGAGCGCAACCCUUGUUGUCAGUUACUAACAGGUUCCGCUGAGGACUCUGACAAGACUGCCAUCGUAAGAUGUGAGGAAGGUGGGGAUGACGUCAAAUCAGCACGGCCCUUACGUCCGGGGCUACACACGUGUUACAAUGGGGGGUACAGAGGGCCGCUACCACGCGAGUGGAUGCCAAUCCCAAAAACCUCUCUCAGUUCGGACUGGAGUCUGCAACCCGACUCCACGAAGCUGGAUUCGCUAGUAAUCGCGCAUCAGCCACGGCGCGGUGAAUACGUUCCCGGGCCUUGUACACACCGCCCGUCAAGCCAUGGGAGCCGGGGGUACCUGAAGUGCGUAACCGCGAGGAGCGCCCUAGGGUAAAACUGGUGACUGGGGC